GUAGGAUAGGGCGGUGUAGGAGGAAGGGUAAUUUUGGGAUUUUGGGAAAAGUUUGGUGGGGUUAAAGAGAAUUUUAACCGUUGGAUUGAGGUGGAUGAUGGAUUUACCAAAGUGUGGGUUCAUAGAGGUGACGUGGAAGAUGGUGAUUGGUGGAUGGGAUUUUGAUAAUUAGAUUUUUGGAAGGAAGUGAUUGGAUUAUGGGAGAGAUUCUUUGUGUUGCUUUCAUAGAUUUUAUUUUUGUUAUUUGGAUGAUUUAUAUGCACUUUUGUGACCUACUUCA
Molecule: unclassified non-coding RNA, 280 nt
Filed under: Hevea brasiliensis (rubber tree)
Lineage: Eukaryota; Viridiplantae; Streptophyta; Magnoliopsida; Malpighiales; Euphorbiaceae
Source: RNAcentral